AGAAUGACUGACCCAUGGGCUGGGUUCCUGAAGGAAAUAAUCAGUUAGUCAAUAAAGAUUAUUAGUAUUAAGUGCCUACUAUGGGAUAGGCACUGUGCUAGGCACCAGAGUUACAAAAAGAGGGAAAAGACUGUCUUUGCUAGCAAGGAGCUUACAAUCUAAAGAAGGAGACAACAAACAAAUAUAUACAAGUUCAGUAAAUUGGAGUUCCUCCUAGAACCUCUGGUCAAAGAAAUCUGCAUCCUUCUCCAGGCUGCACUGCUGAUUCCUUUCUACAGGACUUUUUCUACCAUGAUGGAACUAGGUAUUUUCCCUCUUCCCCUUUUUAGGUAUUGUCUUCCCCCAUUAGAAUGUAAGCUCCUUGAGGGCAAAGAGGAUCUUUCUUUAUGCUUGCAUUUAUAUUUCUAGAGCUUAAUGUCCCAUAACUGAUUGAUUGGCCGACAUCACACAGGUGGUAAGCAUUGGAGGCAGGAUUUUUUUUUAACCCCUUACCUUCCAUUUUAGAAUAUUUUAAGCUAAAAAAGUGGUUGUAAGGACUAGGCAAUGGGGGUUAAGUGACUUGGCCAGGGCACACAGCUAGGAAGUACCUCAGGUCAGAUAUGAACUCACAACUUCCUGAAUCUAGGCCUGGCUCCUAAUCCACUGAGUGACCUAACCCCUCCCUGGAGGCAUGAUUUGAACCCAAGGCUCUCUGACUCCAGAGCCAGUUCUCUUGCUAUUGCACCAUAUUGCUUUGUCCACCUUACACAUAAGUGCUGCCUUCUAGAGAACUCUCCUGGAGUAUCUAGGUAGUACAGUGUAUGGAGUGCCAGCCUAGAGUAGGGAGGACAGGAUUCAAAUCUGGCUUCAGACAUUCCCUAGUUGUAUGAUCCUGGGCAAGUCAUUUAACCUCACUUGCCUAGCUCUGAUAGAAAGUGCAGGGUUUGUUGUUAUUUUUAAGGAACUCUAGUGCCCUCAUGCUGGUUCCUUAAAUGGACAAUGCAUGUUGAGGAUGAGCAAUGCUCCUGCCUGGCCCCCUGAGAACAAAAUUGGAAAACUGGGUGGAAAUUCCUGAAGGGUCUGAUUUUUAACUCUCUCUGAAC
RNAcentral lists this long non-coding RNA (1082 nucleotides) under Monodelphis domestica (gray short-tailed opossum). RNAcentral describes it as "lncRNA (ENSMODG00000030432.2)". Lineage: Eukaryota; Metazoa; Chordata; Mammalia; Didelphimorphia; Didelphidae. The record is from RNAcentral.